UGAGGUGGCAGAGUUUAAGUUCCGGGACGUGUGCUUAAGGUUGUAUUGUAGUACUACCAGUAGUAGUAACGGUGGUUGUGAUAAUAGAUAUUUUACUGAAGCAGGCACCCUGUAUCGAUCGAUGUGAUAAAUUAGUAAAGGCAAAAACAAAUUAGCAUUUUCCUUCAUGCUUCUUGACGUCUAUGUGACGUCACUGUGGUCCUUUCGGCUAAGGGACUCUACUAGCAACAGAUUUUGGAAGUCAUUCUUGCAUCUUUAAUAUUCUCAGAAGAAGAAAUUUCAGUCUCGUUGCAUUUUAAAGGAAAAAAAAGUCCAGUGAUUCAACAGUUAUGCUGAUUGGUACAAAGUCCAUCUUUGAAAUUGGUCAAGAUUUAACCAUUACGGAGGGUCUGCAGUUACUUAACUUCCAGAGGAGAGAUGUCCUGCUUGAGGAUCCUGCAGAUAGAGGUGCAAGUCAUGCUCUGGCUGUGCAGGAAGAGGCCAGCAUUAUUCCCAGGGUCUCUAAUCGAAUGUCCUGUUCUGCAUGUCUCUGCCAUUUUAACGACAGGGAGGAACAGGUAGAGCAUUACAAACUUGAUUGGCAUCGAUUUAAUUUAAAACGGAGAGUCACAGGAUGUCAACCAGUGUCAGCUGACGAAUUUGAAAGGAAAUCUAGUACAGGUGACAUCUCCAGUAUUUCAGGGUCAGAGUCUGAGGAUUCAUUUUCAGACUCUGACAGUAGUCAGCUGACAGGAGGGAAUUUCGUGGAACCACUGAACAAUGAGAUUGAAAAGACACUACAGGAAAGCCGCUUCCCAAGCAAAAUCUUCUUUCAGAACUGCAAGGGUCUUUACUUAUCAGUUGUUUCUGAAGCACUCCUGAACCGAAAGGAUCCUAAGCCAAACAUUUGUGAGUUGCUGUCUUCUCUUCGGGCGUUGAACACUAAAACGUCUUGGGUCAUUCUGAUAACUGGAGGGGGGCAUUUUGCUGGCGCAGUCUUCAGUGGGAGCACAGUUGUGGAACAUAAAACUUUCCACAGGUAUACUGUUCGAGCAAAAAGAGGAAUGGCACAGAGCGUUAGAGAUUCACAGAACCACAGCCAUGCACCCAGAUCUGCUGGUGCAUCCCUGAGGCGAUACAAUGAAGCAGCACUUAAGAAGGAUAUUCAGGAAUUGCUAGAGAGUUGGUCAGAUUAUCUGAAGAAUGCAAUUGCCAUAUACCUUCGGGCUCCAAGCUACAACAAGGCCACCUUUUUCAGUGGGAAGAAUCCUCCCUUGAAGAAAGACAGUCCUAAUCUUCACUACAUUCCCUUUGCUACCCGAAGAGCUACCUUUAGCGAAGUCAAGCGAGUCCAUGAGUUACUGUCAACAGUUCAUAUUUAUGGAAAAGAUACAGUCUUGGAAGAUAUCCUUAAUCCCCAAAAGAAAGGAAAGUCUGUAAAAAGAACGUAAACCAAGAUGAAAUUUCAAAUCUAGAAAGAAAAGAGAAACAUUGGCUUGUGAAUAACUUGGAAUACUACUGGAUUUUUAAUAAUUUCCAUAUUUUCGCCUGCCUUGCUUCUGAAAGAAAUUAAAUCAAGUGGAUCACAUGUUAAACAGUGCAGAUCAUAGUGAAGAACCUUGUGAAAUGCCAUAAACUAGAAAAUAGUGGCUAAAAUGCAGCUAGUUUCCAAAAGAGUCACAGAGUGUGAUACAUAAUUUAACAAGUAAACAGAACAAGGAUUUGGACUUUCAUUUCGCAUAUGAAGACACGGUAUCAACAUGGAGACCUUAUUACAGAUAUAUUACGACAUCCGUGAAUUUAUACAGAAAAGGAGUUUUUGACAAACAUACUAAAUACCAAGUAGAACGGGCCAGACAGUUAAUAUUCAUAAACUCAGUUGUGGCCAUUUGGGUAAAUGGAAGCAUAUGUGGUAGAAUUGUUUAAGAUAUUUCUGUUGUGGAAAGAAACUUGACAGUUAAUGACAGAUACUGCAAGAAUUAAAAUGCAUUCAAGUUGUAAGAUUUGAGUUUUAGUACACGUGCCAAAUAAUUCUGGAAAAGUUAUGCAAUUAUGUUUUUUCAAACAAAACAUGCAAUUCUAAAGUGUUUUAUCCAGGCUAUCCUUUUGUUUCAUCUAGGGAUUAAAAUGGUACAAUCAACUUAUUUUGAAAUGAUUUUCAGUUGAAAGAAUAUUAUGACGCAUCAUGGAGUAAAAGUGGUACUUGUUUAUUAUA
This is an RNA transcript of Protopterus annectens (West African lungfish), 2194 nucleotides long. It is a transcript of the gene named ankyrin repeat and zinc finger peptidyl tRNA hydrolase 1, with no coding region annotated. The record is from RefSeq and is a predicted model, not a curated record. The transcript is spliced from 12 exons. Lineage: Eukaryota; Metazoa; Chordata; Ceratodontiformes; Protopteridae.